RNAcentral lists this ribosomal RNA (497 nucleotides) under uncultured bacterium. RNAcentral's name for it is "partial 16S ribosomal RNA". It matches the Rfam family "Bacterial small subunit ribosomal RNA", at positions 28 to 507 of the family's 1533-position model. The record is from RNAcentral.
GAUGAACGCUGGCGGCGUGCCUAAUACAUGCAAGUCGAGCGAACAGAUGAGGAGCUUGCUCCUCUGACGUUAGCGGCGGACGGGUGAGUAACACGUGGAUAACCUACCUAUAAGACUGGGAUAACUUCGGGAAACCGGAGCUAAUACCGGAUAAUAUAUUGAACCGCAUGGUUCAAUAGUGAAAGACGGUUUUGCUGUCACUUAUAGAUGGAUCCGCGCCGCAUUAGCUAGUUGGUAAGGUAACGGCUUACCAAGGCAACGAUGCGUAGCCGACCUGAGAGGGUGAUCGGCCACACGGGAACUGAGACACGGUCCAGAAUCCUACGGGAGGCAGCAGUAGGGAAUCUUCCGCAAUGGGCGAAAGCCUGACGGAGCAACGCCGCGUGAGUGAUGAAGGUCUUCGGAUCGUAAAACUCUGUUAUUAGGGAAGAACAAAUGUGUAAGUAACUAUGCACGUCUUGACGGUACCUAAUCAGAAAGCCACGGCUAACUACGUG